UGUCGUUUAGCUCAGCUGGGAGAGCACCUCCCUUACAAGGAGGGGUCACUGGUUCGAUCCCAGUAACGACCACCA
This 75-nucleotide transfer RNA is filed under the name Aeromonas veronii. RNAcentral's name for it is "tRNA-Val". It matches the Rfam family "tRNA". Rfam says of the family: Transfer RNA (tRNA) molecules are approximately 80 nucleotides in length. Their secondary structure includes four short double-helical elements and three loops (D, anti-codon, and T loops). Further hydrogen bonds mediate the characteristic L-shaped molecular structure. tRNAs have two regions of fundamental functional importance: the anti-codon, which is responsible for specific mRNA codon recognition, and the 3' end, to which the tRNAs corresponding amino acid is attached (by aminoacyl-tRNA synthetases). tRNAs cope with the degeneracy of the genetic code in two manners: having more than one tRNA (with a specific anti-codon) for a particular amino acid; and 'wobble' base-pairing, i.e. permitting non-standard base-pairing at the 3rd anti-codon position. Lineage: Bacteria; Pseudomonadati; Pseudomonadota; Gammaproteobacteria; Aeromonadales; Aeromonadaceae. The record is from RNAcentral.